GGGAAGGUGGCUCAGUGGUAGAGUGCUUGCCUUGCAUGCAUGAGGCCCUGGCUUCCAUUCCU
RNAcentral lists this transfer RNA (62 nucleotides) under Dipodomys ordii (Ord's kangaroo rat). It matches the Rfam family "tRNA", at positions 1 to 61 of the family's 71-position model. Rfam says of the family: Transfer RNA (tRNA) molecules are approximately 80 nucleotides in length. Their secondary structure includes four short double-helical elements and three loops (D, anti-codon, and T loops). Further hydrogen bonds mediate the characteristic L-shaped molecular structure. tRNAs have two regions of fundamental functional importance: the anti-codon, which is responsible for specific mRNA codon recognition, and the 3' end, to which the tRNAs corresponding amino acid is attached (by aminoacyl-tRNA synthetases). tRNAs cope with the degeneracy of the genetic code in two manners: having more than one tRNA (with a specific anti-codon) for a particular amino acid; and 'wobble' base-pairing, i.e. permitting non-standard base-pairing at the 3rd anti-codon position. The record is from Rfam by way of RNAcentral. Lineage: Eukaryota; Metazoa; Chordata; Mammalia; Rodentia; Heteromyidae.